This 460-nucleotide ribosomal RNA is filed under the name uncultured bacterium. RNAcentral's name for it is "partial 16S ribosomal RNA". It matches the Rfam family "Bacterial small subunit ribosomal RNA", at positions 338 to 795 of the family's 1533-position model. The record is from RNAcentral.
CCUACGGGAGGCAGCAGUGAGGAAUAUUGGUCAAUGGACGAGAGUCUGAACCAGCCAAGUAGCGUGAAGGAUGACUGCCCUAUGGGUUGUAAACUUCUUUUAUAUGGGAAUAAAAUGUUCCACGUGUGGGAUUUUGUAUGUACCAUAUGAAUAAGGAUCGGCUAACUCCGUGCCAGCAGCCGCGGUCAUACGGAGGAUCCGAGCGUUAUCCGGAUUUAUUGGGUUUAAACGGAGCGUAGGUGGAUUGUUAAGUCAGUUGUGAAAGUUUGCGGGUCAACCGUAAAAUUGCAGUUGAAACUGGCAGUCUUGAGUACAGUAGAGGUGGGCGGAAUUCGUGGUGUAGCGGUGAAAUGCUUAGAUAUCACGAAGAACUCCGAUUGCGAAGGCAGUUCACUGGACUGCAACUGACACUGAGGCUCGAAAGUGAGGGUAUCAAACAGGAUUAGAUACCCGAGUAGUC